This 344-nucleotide long non-coding RNA is filed under the name Nicotiana benthamiana. RNAcentral's name for it is "long non-coding RNA (NBEN_LNC040956)". The record is from RNAcentral. Lineage: Eukaryota; Viridiplantae; Streptophyta; Magnoliopsida; Solanales; Solanaceae.
UUGCCAGGGGUCACUGGAGUCUCCUGAUCUUUUGUCACCUUGAUGAAAGUUUACAAUCUAAAGCAAGAAGUCCUUGCAUGUUGUUGCUUGAUUCUUUGCAGAUGGCAAAUCCUGAGAGACUUGAACCUGGGAUCAGAAAGUAUUUCUUUCUCUUUGUUCUGAUUCUUUGCAGAUGGCAAAUCCUGAGAGACUUGAACCUGGGAUCAGAAAGUAUUUCUUUCUCUCAGCCUACUGUUCCAUUCUGGGCUUACUUUGAAAUUAUAAUCCAUUAAGAUAGCAGUGUUUCCGUUGCAGAUUUGUUAUAGACAUAUUCAAAGCAGAGCACAGGCCAGAAAUCAAGGACC